AGACUUUUCUUCUUGGGAACUGAAUCUAUUCAGUAGGGAGCUGUCUCUCCUGAGUCAUAUCGCCAGGUGAUAAGGGAAGUGCAUCACAUCCACCAUCCCAGGCCACAGUCUCAAAAUUACAGCAGCUUUGAUCUAGGGCUUCUUGAGGUGUAGCUGAAUUUUCACACAAAUUCUAGGUCACUAGGUCAUCCAUCACCUGAAACAUGAUAAGUCAUUUAAUGGUUGCU
RNAcentral lists this long non-coding RNA (227 nucleotides) under Homo sapiens (human). RNAcentral's name for it is "HSALNT0044321". The record is from RNAcentral. Lineage: Eukaryota; Metazoa; Chordata; Mammalia; Primates; Hominidae.